UAGCCUUGACAUACUACAGAAUUUGACAGAGAUGUUGGAGUGCCUUCGGGAGCUGUAAUACAGGUGCUGCACGGCUGUCGUCAGCUCGUGUCGUGAGAUGUUGGGUUAAGUCCCGCAACGAGCGCAACCCUCGUCCUUAGUUACUAACGGUUCGGCCGAGGACUCUAAGGAGACUGCCUUCGUAAGGAGGAGGAAGGUGAGGACGACGUCAAGUCAUCAUGGCCCUUACGGCUAGGGCAACACACGUGCUACAAUGGUUAGGACAAUGAGAAGCGAUACCGCGAGGUGGAGCAAAUCUAUAAACCUAAUCUCAGUUCGGAUAGCAGUCUGCAACUCGACUGCUUGAAGCUGGAAUCACUAGUAAUCGUAAAUCAGCUAUGUUACGGUGAAUACGUUCCCGGAUCU
This 405-nucleotide ribosomal RNA is filed under the name uncultured bacterium. RNAcentral's name for it is "bacterial SSU rRNA". It matches the Rfam family "Bacterial small subunit ribosomal RNA", at positions 976 to 1381 of the family's 1533-position model. The record is from RNAcentral.